Pseudophryne corroboree (corroboree frog) is the source of this 1048-nucleotide long non-coding RNA. RefSeq lists it as uncharacterized. NCBI's taxonomy places the organism in Eukaryota, Metazoa, Chordata, Amphibia, Anura, Myobatrachidae. The record is from RefSeq and is a predicted model, not a curated record. The transcript is spliced from 2 exons.
AAAGCGUGUCUGGGCACUGCACUGGGCAUCUCAAUGGGAGGGCUGCAGCAGGUAAUCAAUAUUAGUAGGAAUGCAGCAAGAAGCUGCAGGUAUAGACUCACUAGGGACUGCAGUGUAACCUUCAGCUCCUAACUGUGGAGCAGUGUGGAUAUGGUGCCAAUCGCAAGAUGUCUGCCAUCCAGCUGCAGGCCUCAGCUCCCUCUGCAGGUCCCCCAGCCGUCCGCUGCCCUCCACGGGAUGGAUACUGUCUAGCUGGUGGGCAGAAGGAGAUAGCGAGAGAGCCGGGCCCCAGGAGUAUAAACUCUCCGUGCUGCGGGAGGUCACAGGUGCCGAGCGGUGCCAACCGCAAGAUGGCCGCUCUCCGCCGGUCACAGGCGUCCUGGCCGAUUUACUCCGCAGGUUCUCCUUUCCCCCUUCUCCAGGGCACUGAGGUCUGUCGGGGGCCGGGGAGCGGCAUCCAGUCCGGGACUUUAUUAUGGAUAAUACUUGGGACUAUAUGCUCUGGAUUAUCUACACCUGCAGCGGUUUCGUUUUAUGGAUGUGGAAAGUGGAUUUAGGGGUUUCCGGACAAGUGGAACGCAAACACUACCCUGUGAGACGCAUAUGGAACGCUUGAGGCACUUCCGGUUCCGGCGGGAGCCGGCGGCGGAAGGAGCGUACGUCUGGGUAGUGGGACGGUAAACAGAGAUACAUCAGCUGUGACCACUAAUGAAUGGCUUAUAUAAACUGCCUCCUGGAGCUAUUGGGUCAUGCUUCUGAGGAAGGACUUUAUGUCCGAUACGCGUCAAGUGUGACCCGUGUAUUUUAUUCUGGACUUUGACCCUGGUAUCUGCGGAAUACAUCAUCGGCCUGGAGUUUUGAUCCUGCAUGCUGUAAGCCUUCCGGAGAGCUUAUCUGCAUUCCACACUGCUUUAAAUCUGUGGCGUUGGAUCCCUCUGGGUGAUAUAUCCGUGUUUUGAUCUAUGGAGUCAUAUUUACAUGCUGUUAUAUUUUAACUCUUCUGUAAGUGUAAUCUGUGGAAAUAAAUCCUGCGUGUUUUUAAGCAAUA